Non-coding RNA from Ceratotherium simum simum (southern white rhinoceros), 106 nucleotides. NCBI's taxonomy places the organism in Eukaryota, Metazoa, Chordata, Mammalia, Perissodactyla, Rhinocerotidae. The record is from RefSeq and is a predicted model, not a curated record.
GGCAGGAGGGUGCAGGGUUGGGAAAUGGAUGAAGGUGAUCAAAACAUACAAACUUCCAGUUAUAAGAUAAAUAAGUUCUGGGGCUCUAUUGAAAAGCAUGAUGCCU